Molecule: long non-coding RNA, 282 nt
Filed under: Sinocyclocheilus anshuiensis
Lineage: Eukaryota; Metazoa; Chordata; Actinopteri; Cypriniformes; Cyprinidae
Description: lncRNA (ENSSANG00000020117.1)
Source: RNAcentral
CAAAAACACACACUUCACCUAAGGGUGCCCAGUCUGUCCAUAACGCUCUGCUGUUUCUGCUGUGCUCUACCGUGACCCUAUCGCCAAGGUGACUGGGAGAAUGCCCCGCCUUCUCUCUCUGCUGCCUCCGCUCUCCCCCAUGACCUCGCUGCCCCCUCUCCUGCUGCCAUCGAAUCAGGCAACGCCCAUCAUGGCCAUCUGAACUCUAUGGACAAAUUAAAAGUGAAUCGCCUCCUCACACACACACACUCCUCACUGGCUCACUGUAACAGUGCUGCAGAG